GACGAACGCUGGCGGCGUGCUUAACACGUGCAAGUCGAACGGUAAGGCCCUUCGGGGUACACGAGUGGCGAACGGGUGAGUAACACGUGGGUGAUCUGCCCUGCACUUCGGGAUAAGCCUGGGAAACUGGGUCUAAUACCGGAUAGGACCACUGCCUGCAUGGGUGGUGGUGGGAAGCUUUUGCGGUGUGGGAUGGGCCCGCGGCCUAUCAGCUUGUUGGUGGGGUGAUGGCCUACCAAGGCGACGACGGGUAGCCGGCCUGAGAGGGUGACCGGCCACACUGGGACUGAGAUACGGCCCAGACUCCUACAGGAGGCAGCAGUGGGGAAUAGUGCACAAUGGGCGCAAGCCUGAUGCAGCGACGCCGCGUGAGGGAUGACGGCCUUCGGGUUGUAAACCUCUUUCAGCACCGACGAAGCGCAAGUGACGGUAGGUGCAGAAGAAGGACCAGCCAACUACGUGCCAGCCGCCGCAGUAA
Molecule: ribosomal RNA, 478 nt
Filed under: uncultured bacterium
Lineage: Bacteria
Description: partial 16S ribosomal RNA
Rfam family: Bacterial small subunit ribosomal RNA
Source: RNAcentral